This 498-nucleotide long non-coding RNA is filed under the name Brassica napus (rape). RNAcentral's name for it is "long non-coding RNA (BNAP_LNC023371)". Lineage: Eukaryota; Viridiplantae; Streptophyta; Magnoliopsida; Brassicales; Brassicaceae. The record is from RNAcentral.
ACAGCUUUGAUAAGUUAAAGUGAUCAUUCAUAUAAUUAUGUAUGUUACUUUCUUGAUAUUUAAACCUAAUGUGUCGCUCCGAUUACUUCCGGCUAUCAGAAACAAACAUUAACAACAUAGGCAAAACAAAUGGUGAGAAUAAAAUGUAACAUGUUGGUUUCUGUACAUGGCAGUAUACGUUGAAAGAGACUUAAAAUAAUUGGCUGCCUGUAUUGUUUAGUGCACUUAUCUUUCAUAUACACAUGAAGACAAAUCUCAAGAGUUAAACAUCAUUGAACAACAUAGUCACACAAUAGGUGACCUAUCGGGAAGUGAAACCAAAGCACAGAAAAACUUAUGUGAUGACUAAUGAGCUAGUAAACAACGUACCGGCCAUCAGCCAGGUGGUGAGACCCACAUGGUGAGUGAGUAGGUGGAGAGUGAGUAGGUGGAGGGCCCAUUAAUAGGAUAUUCGGGGUUGAGGUUUAUAAUCAUGUAUAACGAGAUGAAGUAUAUAUG